AUUUUCUCCCUUCCCUGCCAAUCCCUUUUAAAGAAGUCUCUGAGCAGAAACAAAGGCUUACUGUCCACCACCAUUUACUAUGUCACUUCUUUUCACAUAUUUCUGUGCUGUUUUUGUCACGUCUGCAGUUAUUCCAUUUUUCCCUGUUAUUCUCCAUCCUUUCACUCUUCUGAACUUCACUGUAUUCCUCUACAAAUCACCUUUUUGUUUUUAAGCUCCUGUCUGCCUCUCAACGUUUCUGCAUUUUUUGUUACCAUAUUUCUAUGGAGCAUCUUUGUUCUCACUGUAUAUCUUAAGUCCAGUUUCUUCAGCAGUUUCCUUCAUCUCACUGCUGCUGGACUUCCUACAUCUUGUCCCCACUGUGUCAUUUUCAGUCACAAAUGGAAGGCUGAGCUGCAAGGCUGCAAGAACCCUAGACUUCCACACAGAAGUGCUGUAGCCAAAUACAGAUGUCCAAUUCCAGAUGAGGCAGUGAACUGAGCACUGAUGGCCUUGGCUCUUGAAGAGGAAUAUCCUGUGUUUUAGCCUCACUGCAGGACUUCAGCUCUAACACCCUGGUGUAUCUACAGUUCAGGACUAGGAGCAGGUGAGGAUGCAGCUAAGUUUGUGCCUCAUACUUAUCAGAGAGACUUCUCCAAGAGUCACUAGAUUUGAAGUUUUUCAGAAAAACAAGGAUCACACUGUUGGAGUCAGUGCUGUGAACAUAAAUUCUCACCAAGCACUAUGUAAAUAUUAAAAGUAAAUUAAUUUAUAUAGCACUCUAAAUACUAUAUAAAUUCAACCUCGAAUGAAAGUCCCAUCCCAAAGAUUUAUAAAGAACUUGUACAUUUUAGACUGGGGGAAAAAAACCCAUCCCUCCUUUUUAAGUAAAGGGAAAAGCCUAACUCAGAAUUGUCUUGUUAUUUACUCCUGUAUUCAUAUUGCACAUUAAAAUACUUACAUAAAAUGUGCCAGUUUUCAAAAGCAACUUGUUACUCUGUUUUUCAACUGAACUUGGCCAGACUAAAAAAAGAAUUAUAUAUGCCAGAGGACUGCAGUAAAAGAGAUUUAAGGGUUUUCAAAGAGUGUAAGAAAGAGACUAUAGUAAGUGACCAGUGGAACAGUCAGCAAUUUUAAUUAAAACAGGGCUGCUUAUUGAUCUGUCAUACAGAUUUACCCCAUCUGCAAUAUUUCAGCAAUGUUCCUAUUUCAGAAAACAGCACUUGUAAGAGCCAGUAAAGAAUAUGGAAGUUAAGAAUGGAAAUGUUUUGUAACUGGGACAUUCUGUGCUAAGAUCUUUUUCUAUCCCAUUUAAGCAGUUCGCGUAUCUUCACACAAAAAUGAAAGCAAAUGUAGGGAAUCUAUAGGAUAGUCUACCCUCGUCUAGUGGAAGGUGUCCCUGCCCAUGGCAGGGGUCUGGGACGAGAUGAGCUUUUCCAACCCAAACCAUUCUGUGAUUUCCAUGAUAUUGCUUUUGUAACUUAAUGUCAAUGGGUUCACUGCACAUCAGUGUGAAAAAAAAUCCAUCAAGUCUAAAAUAUAUUGGUAUUUUUAAAGAUCUUAUGUUCUUGAAACAAGUGGGAUCUCUAGUGGUUGUGUCUUCAAGGUGGUCAUUUGUCAUCCCUGAGCUGACUGACCUACAUUUCCAUUGGGAAAACCAAGGAAAGUACUAAAAAGGGGCUAAUAAAUGCUCUGCACACACAUGGAGGGUCUGUGGU
Long non-coding RNA from Junco hyemalis (dark-eyed junco), 1697 nucleotides. NCBI's taxonomy places the organism in Eukaryota, Metazoa, Chordata, Aves, Passeriformes, Passerellidae. The record is from Ensembl.